RNAcentral lists this transfer RNA (76 nucleotides) under Acidithiobacillus ferrivorans. Its description in RNAcentral is "tRNA-Asp". It matches the Rfam family "tRNA". From Rfam's summary of the family: Transfer RNA (tRNA) molecules are approximately 80 nucleotides in length. Their secondary structure includes four short double-helical elements and three loops (D, anti-codon, and T loops). The record is from RNAcentral. Lineage: Bacteria; Pseudomonadati; Pseudomonadota; Acidithiobacillia; Acidithiobacillales; Acidithiobacillaceae.
GAUCCAUUAGCUCAGUGGUUAGAGCGCCGCCCUGUCACGGCGGAGGCCGCCGGUUCAAAUCCGGCAUGGAUCGCCA